CCUACGGGAGACAGCAGUGAGGAAUAUUGGUCAAUGGACGAGAGUCUGAACCAGCCAAGUAGCGUGAAGGAUGACUGCCCUAUGGGUUGUAAACUUCUUUUAUAUGGGAAUAAAACGUUCCACGUGUGGGAUUUUGUAUGUACCAUAUGAAUAAGGAUCGGCUAACUCCGUGCCAGCAGCCGCGGUAAUACGGAGGAUCCGAGCGUUAUCCGGAUUUAUUGGGUUUAACGGGAGCGUAGGUGGAUUGUUAAGUCAGUUGUGAAAGUUUGCGGCUCAACCGUAAAAUUGCAGUUGAAACUGGCAGUCUUGAGUACAGUAGAGGUGGGCGGAAUUCGUGGUGUAGCGGUGAAAUGCUUAGAUAUCACGAAGAACUCCGAUUGCGAAGGCAGUUCACUGGACUGCAACUGACACUGAGGCUCGAAAGUGUGGGUAUCAAACAGGAUUAGAUACCCUUGUAGUC
RNAcentral lists this ribosomal RNA (460 nucleotides) under uncultured bacterium. RNAcentral's name for it is "partial 16S ribosomal RNA". It matches the Rfam family "Bacterial small subunit ribosomal RNA", at positions 338 to 795 of the family's 1533-position model. The record is from RNAcentral.